Molecule: ribosomal RNA, 465 nt
Filed under: Vreelandella stevensii
Lineage: Bacteria; Pseudomonadati; Pseudomonadota; Gammaproteobacteria; Oceanospirillales; Halomonadaceae
Description: partial 16S ribosomal RNA
Rfam family: Bacterial small subunit ribosomal RNA
Source: RNAcentral
CCUACGGGUGGCUGCAGUGGGGAAUAUUGGACAAUGGGGGGAACCCUGAUCCAGCCAUGCCGCGUGUGUGAAGAAGGCCCUCGGGUUGUAAAGCACUUUCAGUGAGGAAGAACGCCUGGUGGUUAAUACCCAUCAGGAAAGACAUCACUCACAGAAGAAGCACCGGCUAACUCCGUGCCAGCAGCCGCGGUAAUACGGAGGGUGCGAGCGUUAAUCGGAAUUACUGGGCGUAAAGCGCGCGUAGGUGGCUUGAUAAGCCGGUUGUGAAAGCCCCGGGCUCAACCUGGGAACGGCAUCCGGAACUGUCAAGCUAGAGUGCAGGGGAGGAAGGUAGAAUUCCCGGUGUAGCGGUGAAAUGCGUAGAGAUCGGGAGGAAUACCAGUGGCGAAGGCGGCCUUCUGGACUGACACUGACACUGAGGUGCGAAAGCGUGGGUAGCAAACAGGAUUAGAUACCCUGGUAGUC